Molecule: transfer RNA, 74 nt
Filed under: Plantago ovata (blond plantain)
Lineage: Eukaryota; Viridiplantae; Streptophyta; Magnoliopsida; Lamiales; Plantaginaceae
Description: tRNA-Met
Rfam family: tRNA
About the family: Transfer RNA (tRNA) molecules are approximately 80 nucleotides in length. Their secondary structure includes four short double-helical elements and three loops (D, anti-codon, and T loops).
Source: RNAcentral
AGCGGGGUAGAGGAAUUGGUUAACUCAUCAGGCUCAUGACCUGAAGGUUGUAGGUUCAAGUCCUGCCCCCGCCU